AAUAUUGGACAAUGGGCGAAAGCCUGAUCCAGCCAUGCCGCGUGUGUGAAGAAGGUCNNNGGAUUNUCACGCACUUUAAGUUGNGAGNAAGGGCAGUAAGCUAAUACCUUGCUGUUUUGACGUUACCGACCGAUUAAGCACCGGCCAACUUCGUGCCAGCAGCUGCGGUAAUACGAAGGGUGCAAGCGUCAAUCGGAAUUACUGGGCGUAAAGCGCGCGUAGGUGGUUUGUUAAGUUGGGAAGGAAAGCCCCGGGCUCAACCUGGGAACUGCUUUCAAAACUGGCGAGCUGGAGCAUGGCAGGGGGUGGUGGAAUUUCCUGUGUAGCGGGGAAAUGCGUAGAUAUAGGAAGGAACACCAGUGGCGAAGGCGACCACCUGGGCUAAUACUGACACUGGGGUACGAAAGCGUGGGGGGCAAACA
Molecule: ribosomal RNA, 422 nt
Filed under: uncultured bacterium
Lineage: Bacteria
Description: partial 16S ribosomal RNA
Rfam family: Bacterial small subunit ribosomal RNA
Source: RNAcentral